Molecule: long non-coding RNA, 1769 nt
Filed under: Scophthalmus maximus (turbot)
Lineage: Eukaryota; Metazoa; Chordata; Actinopteri; Pleuronectiformes; Scophthalmidae
Description: lncRNA (ENSSMAG00000031266.1)
Source: RNAcentral
AUGCAACACCUACCUGCAGGUGUGUAUAAAAGGCAAAGGCGUGAAUCAUCUGUUUCAAAUCGUCCCUUUCACUGCGCCAAGUGCUGUAGCUCCGGCUUGUUACACAAUAACUUCAGUCCGUGGCUCCAUCAGUUUCCGGCUUUGAAGAUGAAGAACUUUCCUGUCGUGCUUAUUCUCGGACUUCUUGCUGUUGCCCAGACAACACCUGUUACUCCCGUGACCCAGAUUCCCACCAAAGCUGAGGACGAAGUGCUCCGAGAGGCGGUGACGGACGGGUUCCUCAUCGAUCACUUCUUCCCCCGUUCCCUCACAACUGACUCGCCCAAGAGGAACGCGACCGCCCUUCCGUCCCAGCAGCCGUCCUCUGACCCGAAAGAGGAUGCUACAGACGCGCCCGGCGAGGAGACCACGACCCCCGUGUUCGUCCUGCAUGGAGGUGACCACCAUGCAACCACAACCCACAACGUGGUGUCGUCCACGGAGCCCACAUUCCCCAGUUCAGAUUCAUCUCCCACCGAAAGACCUCAGUCUAGCUUUACAUCUUCAUCGGUGCCGAAUGACGCCCAGUCAAACGCCGCCACCACGGACCACAUCCCGGUCUCCCAAACCACCGACGCCGCUGUCUCCAGCUUUGACUUCCUGGGCACUCUGAGUUCAGAUUCUGGGUCUGGACACGAAGAGGAGCCAAGCGAGGAAACGACUGCGAGCUCCAGUGCGGCCUCCGUCUCCAACACAGACACUAGCGCUGCACCAUCAACCGACACCACUGCUCUACAGUCACGACUGUUCGUAGAGGUUGAAGGAUCAGGAUCAGGAUCAGGAACCAUUGCAGAAACUAGCACUACACCAUCAACCUCCACGACCAUUCUUAUGCCGCCCAAAGCUCCACGAGUGCUCACAAAGAGUGCUCCAUCAGAAUCGCCUGAGGUGGAUUCACCGGUUGAAGAGACAAUAAUUCAGAACAGGUCUUUCGAGAACCAGUCCACAGAAGGAGAUCACGAACCGCAAAAAGUGGAAGAAGCUGUCAACGCUCCAUCACCCCGGGGCAAAGAGAAGAGCACACCAGGUUGGAUCAUCAUCCUUGCUUUCAUUGUUGGCGUUGCAGCACUGGUAAUGCUCUUGGCCGCCAUCGCUACCAGAGACAAGUGGAAUAGACCAACUCAACGGGUGACCCAGCCAGAGACCAAGGCCGGCUCCUCAGACCAGCAGAGGGAGGUAGAGAUGGAGACAUUCCUGCACAAGGACGAGCCCGCGGAGAACGGCAAGUCGGCGGAGUACACAGUCAUCCCCCUGGACGAGCUUCCAGAAGAUUAUUCGUCACACUGACGUUCACAAAGAGAGAGAGAGAGAGAGAGAGAGAGAGAGAGAGAGAGAGAGAGAAAGACCCUAAGGAGGCUUGAGACUCAUCACAGAACCACAUGACUGAGGAUCAGAGGAACGCGUCCCCUCGGAGCCGUUGAGCAGAGAGGCCUCCGGUGGACCGACUGGAGAUCUGCAUUUUGUUCCCCCCGCCCGCUGACUUUCAACAACUCGUACCACGCCCUCGCUCUGAAGCUGCAGCGACACUUUUGGUUGAUUUAUUUAUUUUCCAUAUCAACUAUGUCAUCAACUGUAAAAAAAAAAAAGGAAAAAAGGAAAAAAAGAGAUUGCUUGGGUGAGAUUGGACAAAUGCCAUUUAUUUCAAAUACACUUUAAAAAAGAUUGUUUCAUUUCCCGGUUCAUCGUUGUAAAUAAUGAAUUAAUACGCUGUUGUUGUUGCUGUUGUUGUU